UACGAAGGGGGCUAGCGUUGCUCGGAAUCACUGGGCGUAAAGCGCACGUAGGCGGAUUGCUAAGUCAGGGGUGAAAUCCUGGAGCUCAACUCCAGAACUGCCUUUGAUACUGGCGUCCUUGAGUCCGGGAGAGGUGAGUGGAACUGCGAGUGUAGAGGUGAAAUUCGUAGAUAUUCGCAAGAACACCAGUGGCGAAGGCGGCUUGCUGGGCAUGAUCUGACGCUGAGGCGCGAAAGCGUGGGGAGCAAACAGG
This 253-nucleotide ribosomal RNA is filed under the name uncultured bacterium. RNAcentral describes it as "partial 16S ribosomal RNA". It matches the Rfam family "Bacterial small subunit ribosomal RNA", at positions 524 to 776 of the family's 1533-position model. The record is from RNAcentral.